UCCAUAUACACGGAAUAUGGUGAAAUUUUGGGAACUUUGUAAUCCAUUAAUAAAAGUGACAAAACCAUAGUAUUAAAUCGAUAUGUUCCAUAUUUGUCUAGAAAAAAAUAGAUUGAAUGCAUUCGCCGUCCGCAUAAUACAACAGUGUAAUGCAUUGAAAGUAGGUCAACUUCGAUAUUGAUUUUCUGUAAACAGCAGAUGCCUAGCACACAAUUUUUUUUAUAUUUGAAAUCAUUUGAUACAUAUCUUCUCUUUCAAUGAAUAAAAAGUUUGGAAAUUUUUAUUUGAAAAAUGUUAUUCACUAAAGUAAAAUCAUCGAAACACGUCAUUAACCGUAUUGUUUAUCUCCCUUGCUUGGUUACCUCUUUUAAAAAAAGGCGCGUAGUCUGCACAACAACAAUAACAAAUGGCAGACGAGUUGGUCCCGCCGACAUGAAGGCAUUCAUUAUAAGUCUGUUUUAACACAUUCAUGUGGGGUUUAAUCCUGUAUGUAAUCAGGACAAAAGUGUACGAAAGCUCGCUGAAUGUAAUAAAGACAUAACGCCGCGGCAUUGACAGAUCUCAGACUGCGUGAAGGUUGCCAGACUACAUGAACCAGCCGUGGACAAUGCCAAUGAAGGAGAGUUGAUAGCACUGAGAUGUGGUAUUUUCAGGUAAAUCAAUAUGCUGACUCUGUCCCCACACUCUGUUUGCACAGUAAGUAAUAUCAUAAAUACCAACAAAGAUAGAACAAGUGAUAACACCCAUGAUACACAUUACAUCAAGUCCUUAUGCCCGGUAUAUAAUUUUUGUUAGGUUUCCAGUUCCACAGGACUAACUACAGUCACAGGGUUUCUUAACUGGAGUCUUAUUGCUUAAUAGGCAGCGCACCCAUCCAUCAAG
Molecule: long non-coding RNA, 882 nt
Filed under: Mytilus galloprovincialis (Mediterranean mussel)
Lineage: Eukaryota; Metazoa; Mollusca; Bivalvia; Mytilida; Mytilidae
Source: RNAcentral